CUUUCAAUAAUACACACCCGGAAGUGUUCUAUGCUGAGUAUUCCGCCAUGGAAAAAGUUACACAUUCAGUUGAAUAAGGCUUGCUAGAUAUAUGUAAGUCUCUUGCACCAGGAUUAAAGACAAAAGCCCAGAAGGUCCUUCUUAACAAUUUAAACCUCUGCGAAGGUUGUUGGCGUAAAAGAGCUUUUGGAUAUUUGCGUAAUGGAACUGGCCUGAUGGAAUGGUUGCAGGGAAUCCACCCAUUCCAUUAGUUACCUCAAGUCUGGAUAACGGCAAAGUCAUAGAGAGCCAGCAGUGGGGAUGUAAGGUUGAAUGGCUACUGGCUGAGAAGAAUUCCGCUGGACAUCUGUUUACGUAUUCGCUGAGGAAGAACACGUGCAGUUUCAGAAUAAUUGUAUGGACAGAUAAUCUUGAUCAGAAAUACGCAUGGGGAAGUACAUUCAUAAAAGUUGACUUAAUAAAACUGUAUUUGCAUAUGAGAGGAGUCUGAUUAAGUUACAAAGAAUACCUCUUGACUGAACUGUAUAUACUAGAUGCAAGUAAAUCGUGGCAUAUCCUGUAUCCUAACAUAUAGUCUUGUACUUCCUCGAUGGACAAGAAAAUAAAACAUGAAGGUCGUAAGUUGGAUGAAUGAGAGACAAGCCAUAAAUGAACUGUGCUAACGAAAAAAAGACCAAGAUGCACAUUUUCAUAGAGAGCACUGUUCAACACUUGGAGUGAAGUGAACUUGUAUUAAAAUUCAAGAUGACAUCCAGAAAUCUGGAUUUAGUAUAAGAAGAAAGUAGAGCUUGCAUGCAAAGAGGAUGAAUGCAUUGAAAUUAGUAUGCAGGGGAGCAAAGACCUGCAUUAGGUGUGGAUUGAUUAGACAUUUUAACACUUUUAUGGUAGACUUUUCUUGUCUGUUUAAUUGUGGUUUCUUGUUAGGGCAGAUGCUAAAUAAUUCACAUAUGACUCCCAUUUUUUAUUGCCAUCUGGAGCUUUAGGCUUUAUACCAGUGAUUUCUGCAAGAUUCUUUUUUGCUUGUUUAUGAAUAAUGGAUUAAAUGACAAGUUUUAUUUAGUUUUAUUGGACUUAAAACUGGAAGCUUUUCUUAUUUA
Protopterus annectens (West African lungfish) is the source of this 1097-nucleotide long non-coding RNA. RefSeq lists it as uncharacterized. The transcript has 2 exons. NCBI's taxonomy places the organism in Eukaryota, Metazoa, Chordata, Ceratodontiformes, Protopteridae. The record is from RefSeq and is a predicted model, not a curated record.